UGGGGAAUCUUCCGCAAUGGACGAAAGUCUGACGGAGCAACGCCGCGUGAGUGAAGACGGCCUUCGGGUUGUAAAGCUCUGUGAUCCGGGACGAAAGAGCCUGAGGUGAAUAGCCUAAGGAAGUGACGGUACCGGAAAAGCAAGCCACGGCUAACUACGUGCCAGCAGCCGCGGUAAUACGUAGGUGGCAAGCGUUGUCCGGAAUUAUUGGGCGUAAAGCGCGCGCAGGCGGCUUCCUAAGUCCAUCUUAAAAGUGCGGGGCUUAACCCCGGGAUGGGAUGGAAACUGGGAAGCUGGGGUAUCGGAGAGGAAAGUGGAAUUCCUAGUGUAGCGGUGAAAUGCGUAGAGAUUAGGAAGAACCCCGGGGGCGAAGGGGACUUUCUGGACGAAAACUGGCGCUGGGGCGCGAAAGCGUGGGGAGCAAACAGG
RNAcentral lists this ribosomal RNA (429 nucleotides) under Fusobacteriota bacterium. Its description in RNAcentral is "Fusobacteria bacterium partial 16S ribosomal RNA". It matches the Rfam family "Bacterial small subunit ribosomal RNA", at positions 355 to 776 of the family's 1533-position model. The record is from RNAcentral. Lineage: Bacteria; Fusobacteriati; Fusobacteriota.